RNAcentral lists this ribosomal RNA (511 nucleotides) under uncultured bacterium. RNAcentral's name for it is "partial 16S ribosomal RNA". It matches the Rfam family "Bacterial small subunit ribosomal RNA", at positions 28 to 523 of the family's 1533-position model. The record is from RNAcentral.
GACGAACGCUGGCGGCGUGCCUAAUACAUGCAAGUAGAACGCUGAAGGAGGAGCUUACUUCUCUGGAUGAGUUGCGAACGGGUGAGUAACGCGUAGGUAACCUGCCUGGUAGCGGGGGAUAACUAUUGGAAACGAUAGCUAAUACCGCAUAAGAGUAGAUGUUGCAUGACAUUUACUUAAAAGGUGCAAUUGCACCACUACCAGAUGGACCUGCGUUGUAUUAGCUAGGUGGUGGGGUAACGGCUUACCAAGGCGACGAUACAUAGCCGACCUGAGAGGGGGAUCGGCCACACUGGGACUGAGGCACGGCCCAGACUCCUACGGGAGGCAGCAGUAGGGAAUCUUCGGCAAUGGACGGAAGUCUGACCGAGCAACGCCGCGUGAGUGAAGAAGGUUUUCGGAUCGUAAAGCUCUGUUGUAAGAGAAGAACGAGUGUGAGAGUGGAAAGUUCACACUGUGACGGUAUCUUACCAGAAAGGGACGGCUAACUACGUGCCAACCGCCGCCGUAA